RNAcentral lists this long non-coding RNA (815 nucleotides) under Felis catus (domestic cat). Its description in RNAcentral is "lncRNA (ENSFCAG00000048536.1)". The record is from RNAcentral. Lineage: Eukaryota; Metazoa; Chordata; Mammalia; Carnivora; Felidae.
AUUAAAAAAAAAAGAAAUGUUACAACUGGCACAUUAGAGAGCCUUGGGUCAGGGUGCUAACCAGAUGGCCAUUAAGUCACCUACCCUCCCCCAGAAUCUCAAGACAACCUUAGGAAAGCACGGUUGAGAUGAACAGAGUUGUAAUCUUUCGAGAUGCGUUAACAAACGCAUUUGUUAACAAACAAAUAGGUGUUUAGAAAGAAGCGUGUCGGUAAGAGUCCACUCUUGGGUGUAAAAAGGUCCGAGUGGAGCCCUUCCUCUCUCUCUUCGCAGCCUGAGUAAACCCUCCUUCACAGCCAUCCCCCUUCCUUUGGCCGGAUUCCACGCUCACCAAGCAACCUCCUGGUUAUAAAUUCCAUUCCGGGAAAUGGGUGUCUCGGAAGGCAGAGGUGAUUCUAACGCACAACGAUGUUUGAGACCACUGCUCUAGAAAAAGCUCUGCUACCCCUGAAGUACUCCGACCUGAAUUCAUUUCCUGACACUUGUUCAUUUGACAGCAAUGAUACCUGCUGUCCACGGCGAAGCCUUGGAGAAGCCUCUUGAUGAUCCACAUGCUAGAUUCUUUCCUCCAUAAACUGAUGAACUAAAUGAUCCUUGAAAUGUUUGGUUCUGUCCGUGGCACGUUUGGAAUAAUAAUUCACCUUUUAGGUCAAUUACACACACAGGUAUGCUAAUGCUUGGGGUGCCCUUAGAGUAGACACUGAUUAUUUCAGUUGUACUCUUCAAAUGGAAGACUAAUUAAAUCUCUACAUUUGGAUUUGGCUUCCCAGUUAGCAAUGUUUCAUUCCUGGAAAAUAAAUAGUCAGUGUGUGUCA